AUACAUCAGCAGCUACAGGGGAUCCUAGACAAGCAAACUCAGACAGCAGACUUCCCCAGACAGAAGCUGGAAGGUUCUCCCAGUGAGCUGCUGAGAAGAGCCCUGUGUGACGGCUUCUUCAACCACAUAGCCAGGAGAUCUGCUACUGGCCGCAGCUUCCGAACCAUGGAUGGCCACGCCUCCACUGUGUUCAUCCACCCUUCCUCAGUGGUG
Molecule: long non-coding RNA, 213 nt
Organism: Branchiostoma belcheri (Belcher's lancelet)
Lineage: Eukaryota; Metazoa; Chordata; Leptocardii; Amphioxiformes; Branchiostomatidae
Exons: 3
Source: RefSeq, a predicted model, not a curated record